CCGACGGUGAGAGACGAAAGCUGGGGGAGCAAACCGGAUUAGAUACCCGGGUAGUCCCAGCCGUAAACGAUGUGCGUUAGGUGUAUCGGUGACCACGGGUCGCCGAGGUGCCGAAGAGAAAUCGUGAAACGUACCGCCUGGGAAGUACGGUCGCAAGGCUGAAACUUAAAGGAAUUGGCGGGGGAGCACCACAACAGGUGGAGCCUGCGGUUUAAUCGGACUCAACGCCGGGAAACUCACCAGAUAAGACAGCUGAAUGAUAGUCGGGCUGAAGACUCUACUUGACUAGCUGAGAGGAGGUGCAUGGCCGUCGUCAGUUCGUACUGUGAAGCAUCCUGUUAAGUC
This 345-nucleotide ribosomal RNA is filed under the name uncultured archaeon. RNAcentral describes it as "bacterial SSU rRNA". It matches the Rfam family "Archaeal small subunit ribosomal RNA", at positions 691 to 1035 of the family's 1478-position model. The record is from RNAcentral.